UGGGGAAUAUUGCACAAUGGGGGGAAACCCUGAUGCAGCGACGCCGCGUGAGUGAAGAAGUAAUUCGUUAUGUAAAGCUCUAUCAGCAGGGAAGAAAAUGACGGUACCCGAG
Molecule: ribosomal RNA, 112 nt
Filed under: uncultured bacterium
Lineage: Bacteria
Description: partial 16S ribosomal RNA
Rfam family: Bacterial small subunit ribosomal RNA
Source: RNAcentral